This 1181-nucleotide ribosomal RNA is filed under the name Salmonella enterica. RNAcentral's name for it is "partial 23S ribosomal RNA". It matches the Rfam family "Bacterial large subunit ribosomal RNA", at positions 1762 to 2925 of the family's 2925-position model. Lineage: Bacteria; Pseudomonadati; Pseudomonadota; Gammaproteobacteria; Enterobacterales; Enterobacteriaceae. The record is from RNAcentral.
UGGAGCUGAAGUCAGUCGAAGAUACCAGCUGGCUGCAACUGUUUAUUAAAAACACAGCACUGUGCAAACACGAAAGUGGACGUAUACGGUGUGACGCCUGCCCGGUGCCGGAAGGUUAAUUGAUGGGGUCAGCGCAAGCGAAGCUCCUGAUCGAAGCCCCGGUAAACGGCGGCCGUAACUAUAACGGUCCUAAGGUAGCGAAAUUCCUUGUCGGGUAAGUUCCGACCUGCACGAAUGGCGUAAUGAUGGCCAGGCUGUCUCCACCCGGGACUCAGUGAAAUUGAACUCGCUGUGAAGAUGCAGUGUACCCGCGGCAAGACGGAAAGACCCCGUGAACCUUUACUAUAGCUUGACACUGAACACUGGUCCUUGAUGUGCAGGAUAGGUGGGAGGCUUUGAAGUGUGGACGCCAGUCUGCAUGGAGCCGACCUUGAAAUACCACCCUUUAAUGGCUGGUGUUCUAACGUGGGCCCCUGACCGGGGUUGCGGACAGUGUCUGGUGGGUAGUUUGACUGGGGCGGUCUCCUCCUAAAGAGUAACGGAGGAGCACGAAGGUUGGCUAAUCCUGGUCGGACAUCAGGAGGUUAGUGCAAUGGCAUAAGCCAGCUUGACUGCGAGCGUGACGGCGCGAGCAGGUGCGAAAGCAGGUCAUAGUGAUCCGGUGGUUCUGAAUGGAAGGGCCAUCGCUCAACGGAUAAAAGGUACUCCGGGGAUAACAGGCUGAUACCGCCCAAGAGUUCAUAUCGACGGCGGUGUUUGGCACCUCGAUGUCGGCUCAUCACAUCCUGGGGCUGAAGUAGGUCCCAAGGGUAUGGCUGUUCGCCAUUUAAAGUGGUACGCGAGCUGGGUUUAGAACGUCGUGAGACAGUUCGGUCCCUAUCUGCCGUGGGCGCUGGAAGAUUGAGGGGGGCUGCUCCUAGUACGAGAGGACCGGAGUGGACGCAUCACUGGUGUUCGGGUUGUCAUGCCAAUGGCACUGCCCGGUAGCUACAUGCGGAAGAGAUAAGUGCUGAAAGCAUCUAAGCACGAAACUUGCCCCGAGAUGAAUCUUCCCUGAGCCUUUAAGGCUCCUGAAGGAACGUUGAAGACGACGACGUUGAUAGGCCGGGUGUGUAAGCGCAGCGAUGCGUUGAGCUAACCGGUACUAAUGAACCGUGAGGCUUAACCUUACAACGCCGAAG